This 501-nucleotide ribosomal RNA is filed under the name uncultured bacterium. RNAcentral describes it as "partial 16S ribosomal RNA". It matches the Rfam family "Bacterial small subunit ribosomal RNA", at positions 30 to 523 of the family's 1533-position model. The record is from RNAcentral.
AUUGAACGCUGGCGGCAGGCUUAACACAUGCAAGUCGAGCGGAGAUGAGGUGCUUGCACCUUAUCUUAGCGGCGGACGGGUGAGUAAUGCUUAGGAAUCUGCCUAUUAGUGGGGGACAACAUUCCGAAAGGAAUGCUAAUACCGCAUACGUCCUACGGGAGAAAGCAGGGGAUCUUCGGACCUUGCGCUAAUAGCUGAGCCUAAGUCGGAUUAGCUAGUUGGUGGGGUAAAGGCCUACCAAGGCGACGAUCUGUAGCGGGUCUGAGAGGAUGAUCCGCCACACUGGGACUGAGACACGGCCCAGGCUCCUACGGGAGGCAGCAGUGGGGAAUAUUGGACAAUGGGGGGAACCCUGAGCCAGCCAUGCAGCGUGUGUGAAGAAGGCCUUAUGGUUGUAAAGCACUUUAAGCGAGGAGGAGGCUACUGAGACUAAUACUCUUGGAUAGUGGACGUUACUCGCAGAAUAAGCACCGGCUAACUCUGUGCCAGCCGCCGCAGUAA